GCGCUGUGAAAGUCCCAGCAGAGAUUGAGAAGACUGCUAGGACUCUGUUAUGUCCCAAGAGCCCACUGUGCUCCAUCGCAGAGGUCAAAACGUUUGCAGAGUCGUCCAAAGCGAGCAUCAGAGGAACCAUUACAGAGAUAAAAGCUCUUGAAAGGAUUACUGUUAUGAAACAGAGGAAAACCAAGAAGCAAGAUUUCCAUCUGAAAGACGACACAGAUUCCAUCAAAGUUUCUGUGUGGGGCGAGAACACUCAGCAAUGCAAGGGAUUACUAGUUGGAGACAUCGUUAAAGUGACCAAUGUAAAGACGAACUACUUUCGUGGAGUCACAUCCGUUAACUCUACUGCAUUCACCAGAAUUCACAAGGUCUGCAGUGCCGGCUUCCAGACGGGGAGAAUUGAAAUUAAAGCAAUAUCCAAAGCCAAUAAGACAUGCACUUAUGUGGAGGCAGAAUUCAACCAGCAGCUGCAGACAUUUGUUGUAGCUUCUCAACUCCUGGCGAAGGCGUUUGGUGUUAAACUGGAUGAAAAUUUUAAACAAAAGCUUGUGGAUAAAUUGCCCCUCUCAACAGUA
This is an RNA transcript of Pelmatolapia mariae (spotted tilapia), 572 nucleotides long. RefSeq lists it as uncharacterized. The record is from RefSeq and is a predicted model, not a curated record. NCBI's taxonomy places the organism in Eukaryota, Metazoa, Chordata, Actinopteri, Cichliformes, Cichlidae. The transcript has 3 exons.